RNAcentral lists this ribosomal RNA (230 nucleotides) under Klebsiella grimontii. Its description in RNAcentral is "partial 23S ribosomal RNA". It matches the Rfam family "Bacterial large subunit ribosomal RNA", at positions 1422 to 1651 of the family's 2925-position model. The record is from RNAcentral. Lineage: Bacteria; Pseudomonadati; Pseudomonadota; Gammaproteobacteria; Enterobacterales; Enterobacteriaceae.
GAAACAGGUUAAUAUUCCUGUACUCGGUGUUACUGCGAAGGGGGGACGGAGAAGGCUAUGUUGGCCGGGCGACGGUUGUCCCGGUUUAAGCAUGUAGGCGGAUGUUCCAGGUAAAUCCGGAACGUUAUUAACGCUGAGGUGUGAUGACGAGGCACUACGGUGCUGAAGUGACAAAUGCCCUGCUUCCAGGAAAAGCCUCUAAGCAUCAGGUAACAUCAAAUCGUACCCCA